This 245-nucleotide ribosomal RNA is filed under the name uncultured prokaryote. RNAcentral's name for it is "partial 16S ribosomal RNA". It matches the Rfam family "Bacterial small subunit ribosomal RNA", at positions 524 to 768 of the family's 1533-position model. The record is from RNAcentral.
UACGGAGGAUGCGAGCGUUAUCCGGAUUUAUUGGGUUUAAAGGGUGCGUAGGCGGCCGAGUAAGUCAGCGGUGAAAUUUUGCAGCUUAACUGUAACAGUGCCGUUGAUACUGCAUGGCUAGGAUUUGGUUGCUGUGGGUGGAAUGUGUGGUGUAGCGGUGAAAUGCUUAGAUAUCACACAGAAUAUCAAUUGCGAAGGCAGCUCACAAAGCCAAGAUUGACGCUGAGGCACGAAAGCAUGGGUAG